AGAGUUUGAUCCUGGCUCAGAACGAACGCUGGCGGCAUGCCUAACACAUGCAAGUCGAACGAGACCUUCGGGUCUAGUGGCGCACGGGUGCGUAACGCGUGGGAAUCUGCCUUUGGGUUCGGAAUAACAGUGAGAAAUUACUGCUAAUACCGGAUGAUGUCCUUCGGACAAAGAUUUAUCGCCCAAAGAUGAGCCCGCGUAAGAUUAGCUAGUUGGUGAGGUAAAGGCUCACCAAGGCGACGAUCUUUAGCUGGUCUGAGAGGAUGAUCAGCCACACUGGGACUGAGACACGGCCCAGACUCCUACGGGAGGCAGCAGUGGGGAAUAUUGGACAAUGGGCGAAAGCCUGAUCCAGCAAUGCCGCGUGAGUGAUGAAGGCCUUAGGGUUGUAAAGCUCUUUUACCAGGGAUGAUAAUGACAGUACCUGGAGAAUAAGCUCCGGCUAACUCCGUGCCAGCAGCCGCGGUAAUACGGAGGGAGCUAGCGUUGUUCGGAAUUACUGGGCGUAAAGCGCACGUAGGCGGCUAUUCAAGUCAGAGGUGAAAGCCCGGGGCUCAACCCCGGAACUGCCUUUGAAACUAGAUAGCUUGAAUCUKGRRGAGGCGAGUGGAAUUCCGAGUGUAGAGGUGAAAUUCGUAGAUAUUCGGAAGAACACCAGUGGCGAAGGCGACUCGCUGGACAAGUAUUGCGCCUUGAGGUGCGAAAGCGUUGGGGAGCAAACAGGAUUAGAUACCCUGGUAGUCCACGCCGUAAACGAUGAUAACUAGCUGUCCGGGUUCAUGGAACUUGGGUGGCGCAGCUAACGCAUUAAGUUAUCCGCCUGGGGAGUACGGUCGCAAGAUUAAAACUCAAAGGAAUUGACGGGGSCCUGCACAAGCGGUGGAGCAUGUGGUUAAUUCGAAGCAACGCGCAGAACCUUACCAGCGUUUGACAUGGCUAGUAUAUUUUCCAGAGAUGGAUUAUUUCAGUUCGGCUGGCUAGCACACAGGUGCUGCAUGGCUGUCGUCAGCUCGUGUCGUGAGAUGUUGGGUUAAGUCCCGCAACGAGCGCAACCCUCGUCUUUAGUUGCCAUCAUUAAUGUGGGCACUCUAAAGAAACCGCCGGUGAUAAGCCGGAGGAAGGUGGGGAUGACGUCAAGUCCUCAUGGCCCUUACACGCUGGGCUACACACGUGCUACAAUGGCGGUGACAGUGGGCAGCAAGCACGCGAGUGCAAGCUAAUCUCCAAAAGCCGUCUCAGUUCGGAUUGUUCUCUGCAACUCGAGAGCAUGAAGGCGGAAUCGCUAGUAAUCGCGGAUCAGCAUGCCGCGGUGAAUACGUUCCCAGGCCUUGUACACACCGCCCGUCACACCAUGGGAGUUGGAUUCACCCGAAGGCGCUGCGCUAACCCGCAAGGGAGGCAGGCGACCACGGUGGGUUCAGCGACUGGGGUGAAGUCGUAACAAGGUAGCC
This 1451-nucleotide ribosomal RNA is filed under the name uncultured bacterium. RNAcentral's name for it is "bacterial SSU rRNA". It matches the Rfam family "Bacterial small subunit ribosomal RNA". The record is from RNAcentral.